Long non-coding RNA from Ceratina calcarata, 592 nucleotides. RefSeq lists it as uncharacterized. The transcript has 2 exons. The record is from RefSeq and is a predicted model, not a curated record. Lineage: Eukaryota; Metazoa; Arthropoda; Insecta; Hymenoptera; Apidae.
CUUUGUAAGAUGAACGCGGACAAGUUGAUUGUGUCUGAUCUUUUUUUAUAACGGGGUUGUCAGGUCACACUACAUACUAUAUAUGUUUAUGCAAGCUCGACAUGAUUUUUUCUGGACCAUUUACAAUUAGACAAUUUUUCUGUUUUAAAAUUCAAUUUGGUACAUUCAAUCAUUCGAGAAAUCAAUUUAUCACCGAAGGAUACGUGAACAAAUUGAACGAACGAGAUUAAGAUAUGUAAAGGAUGUGUCAACAGAGGAGAACCAUUAAAGAGACGAAUGCUUCUGAAGUUUGUGCCAGACUGGGAACGUGACAGGGAAUUCUGCGACCGCUAAAUUGCUAAGACUCACAAUUUGGAAAUAAAAAUAAAAGAGAAAGUCUUUAAAUUGCUAUAAUAAAGAACUCUGUGAUGGAAGAAGCGAAGAGGAUCAGUGAGUGAAAUGUAUAAACGAGAUUUCGAAGACAAUUGAAAGAACUAUUCACCCGGUGCACCACAGUGUUGUGCGAAACACCUCCUUCGAAAUAUGUCGAAGAAUUUGUCUAGAACGUGCCACGAAAUUCAUCAACAAGAUAAUUAAUAGAAGAGGACCGCAG